AGAGCGAACGCUGGCGGCAGGCUUAACACAUGCAAGUCGAGCGGAUGUAGCAAUACAUCAGCGGCAGACGGGUGAGUAACACGUGGGAACGUACCUUUUGGUUCGGAACAACACAGGGAAACUUGUGCUAAUACCGGAUAAGCCCUUACGGGGAAAGAUUUAUCGCCGAAAGAUCGGCCCGCGUCUGAUUAGCUAGUUGGUGAGGUAAUGGCUCACCAAGGCGACGAUCAGUAGCUGGUCUGAGAGGAUGAUCAGCCACAUUGGGACUGAGACACGGCCCAAACUCCUACGGGAGGCAGCAGUGGGGAAUAUUGGACAAUGGGCGCAAGCCUGAUCCAGCCAUGCCGCGUGGGUGAUGAAGGCCCUAGGGUUGUAAAGCCCUUUCGGCGGGGAAGAUAAUGACGGUACCCGCAGAAGAAGCCCCGGCUAACUUCGUGCCAGCAGCCGC
RNAcentral lists this ribosomal RNA (448 nucleotides) under uncultured bacterium. RNAcentral describes it as "SSU rRNA". It matches the Rfam family "Bacterial small subunit ribosomal RNA", at positions 26 to 518 of the family's 1533-position model. The record is from RNAcentral.